This 343-nucleotide long non-coding RNA is filed under the name Setaria italica (foxtail millet). RNAcentral's name for it is "long non-coding RNA (SITA_LNC006693)". The record is from RNAcentral. Lineage: Eukaryota; Viridiplantae; Streptophyta; Magnoliopsida; Poales; Poaceae.
UGUUCAGUUGGCUUGAGAGCUGUCUCCUACUCGGUUCCCCCGAUCUUCCUUUUAUAGUGCAAGGAAGAGACGGGAGUUACAGUUGAGCCAGGAGUCCGGAGAAGUAAAAGAGAUAAGCAAGCAAAGUAAAGCAAAGCACGGGGGCAAGGACCGAGUCCUCGCGGUCGCCGCCUUCUCUUCCUGUCUCUGUCUCCCGUCAGCGUGACCGUCGGAGGGGGGCGGCUGUCGUUGGACCCUGUCGACGACCCUCCGAUCGAUCGUCGUUGCCGAGCGUGCGAGAUGUGUGUGUGGCGUCCAACCGCUGUAGCCAUGCAUGAUGAUGAUGAUGUCUGGGUGCCGCAGC